RNAcentral lists this unclassified non-coding RNA (3858 nucleotides) under Homarus americanus (American lobster). RNAcentral's name for it is "glycogen [starch] synthase-like, transcript variant X3". Lineage: Eukaryota; Metazoa; Arthropoda; Malacostraca; Decapoda; Nephropidae. The record is from RNAcentral.
ACCAGAUGUCCCUCAGUGUCCCGGCACCAGCCGUAGAGUGGAGGAGUGAGGAGUGUUGUAGGAACAGCCGAAACCAUGUCCAGAGUAGCAAGACGAUUCUACCGUGUUGACAGUCUUCAUGCCCUGGAUAAUCUAGACAAGGGAGAGUCAGCAUCCGUGGAGAACAGAUGGGUGUUUGAGAUCAGUCACGAAGCAGCGAAUAAAGUUGGUGGUAUUUAUCAAGUUAUUAGAAGUAAAUGUGGCGCCUCGGUAGAAGAGCUUGGUGAACAGUAUGUUCUCCUUGGACCCUAUAAGGAAGCCAGUGUCAGGACAGAGGUCGAGUUGGCCGAAUUUUCUGCAGACUCCCCACUGACUGUCACCAUUAACCGUCUACGAACUGAAGGAUGGCGAAUACACCCAGGUCGAUGGCUGGUGGACGGCAACCCUCAAAUCAUCCUCUUUGACAUCGGCUCAGCCUCUGUGUCGCUCAAUGACUAUAAGCAGGAGUUUUAUGAAAAUUCAAAAAUUGGUAUUCCACAGCACGACAUAGAAUGCAACGAUGCAGUGCUUUUUGGCUUUAUGGUUGCAAAAUUUAUUGAAGAGUUUCGUAGUGAAGUGGUCAAUUUCAGUGAUGCUAAGCCUCGGGUGUGUGCCCACUUCCACGAGUGGCUGGCAGGUGUGGGUUUGGUAAUGUUGCGGAUGAGGAACAUUGAUGUGGCCACCAUCUUCACCACCCAUGCGACUCUCCUCGGCAGAUUUCUCUGUGCUGGAGCCGUUGACUUCUACAAUAACCUGGACAAGUUUGAUAUAGAUGGGGAGGCAGGGAAGAGAGGCAUCUACCACAGGUACUGCAUGGAGAGGUGUUGUGCCCACCUAGCCCACACCUUCACCACAGUCUCUGAAAUCACUGGAGUCGAAGCUGAGCAUCUGCUCAAACGCAAGCCAGACAUUAUCACACCCAAUGGACUAAAUGUGAAGAAAUUUGCUGCCCUCCACGAGUUCCAGAACCUUCAUGCGUUAUCCAAAGAGAGAAUUAAUGAUUUUAUUAGAGGUCAUUUUUAUGGGUUCAUGGACUUUGACCUCGACAAGACUCUCUAUUUCUUCAUUGCUGGACGUUACGAGUUUGGCAACAAGGGAGCUGAUCUCUAUAUCGAGGCUCUGGCUAGGUUAAACCACUACAUGAAGGCCAGUGGAACAGAUAAGACUGUGAUAGCAUUUAUCAUUUUCCCAGCCAAGACCAACAACUUUAACAUAGAGUCAUUAAGAGGCCAAGCCAUCACUAAGGCCUUACGCGACACUAUACACGACAUUCAGGCCAAGAUUGGGAAGCGCAUGUAUGAAGUUUGUCUUACAGGCCGUCUACCUGAGGCUAGCGAGUUACUGCUUAAGGAGGAAACGGUGAGACUCAAGAGGUGUAUCUAUGCUGCACAGAGAGAAACCCUCCCUCCCAUCACUACUCACAAUGUAUGCGACGACCAUACAGACCCGGUGCUUAAUGCCCUUCGUAGGUGUCACCUCUUUAACGACACCCACGAUAGAGUCAAGGUUAUCUUCCAUCCCGAGUUCCUCUCCGUGUCAAAUCCUCUCUUCGGUAUGGACUACGAAGAAUUUGUCCGUGGGUGUCACUUGGGUGUCUUCCCUUCCUACUAUGAACCUUGGGGCUACACUCCUGCUGAAUGUACUGUUAUGGGCAUUCCUUCAGUCACUACCAACUUAUCAGGAUUUGGUUGUUUCAUGGCAGAACAUAUAGCAGACCCAAUGAGUUAUGGCAUCUACAUUAUUGAUCGUCGCUACAUUGGCUUAGAGGAGUCAGUACGACAAUUAGCCCAAAACUUGUUCGAAUUUGUGCAGCUAAAUCGUCGACAACGAAUCAUCCAGAGGAAUCGUACCGAGCGCUUAUCUGAACUAUUGGACUGGAGGAUACUUGGCUCGUAUUAUCGACAAGCUCGCCAGCAUGCCCUCCGUCUGGUGUAUCCUGAGUUAGCAGUGGAAGAGGCGGCUGGUGCCGGUCGACUCAACUACCCACGACCUCUUUCUGAACCUCCGUCACCCACUUCCUCAAGAGCCACUACGCCUGCCCCCUCUGAGCACGGUUCUGAUGAUGAAGACAGUAUUGACAGUGAAGCAGAGUUGGAGGAGCUCGGUGUAGGAGGAGGAAGCGUUAACGGCAGCACAACCAGCAGCAGGUGAAUGUGGCCGGCAGGUGAGCUGGGCAAGAGGACAGUCUUGCACAUAGUAAUUCAGUCACACAUACUUGCAGCUAGAGGAAUGCUAUUAUGAGUUCGACUACAACUGGAGACAUCAGUACCAGUUGGGUUGUUACGGAUCCACUGUGAGCUCUCUCUCUCACUACCUACUGAAGACAACUUUAAUAUUGGAGAUCAUAAACUAAGCAAGAAAUUGAGAGAGAGGACAUGAGGAAUAUAUGUCGAGAGUCAUUUUGUGUUGUUACUAAAAUGGUGUUGUUAGGGUAUGUGAGCCUUCCACUGAUCUGUUUAUACCCUCUGAGUGUUACCUUCGAGGUUACUGAUGGAUGCUGGACUAGUCAGGUUGUUGUGAGGCUGUAGGGGGGGAAGAACCUUUAAGACAUUUUCCUGUUGGUAAUGCAAAUACCUUUUAUAGAAGAAUUGUUAAAUGUCAUGAAGAUUAGGAACCCAUACCGGUAUUUAUUUUACCUGAUGAUUAAGUAUCCAUAAUGUUAACCUAACUCCAUUUAGCAUUAGGGUGUGUAACCCCCUGUGUAUGGGGUCGAAUAAAAUAUAUCUGAUGUUAGCGAAAUAUAAUAUUAAAAUGAUGCCCCCAUAGUGAAGGAGUUAAUCAGAUGAAAUAAACUGGGUUUCCUAAUCUUUGUGAGAUGUGAAUUGUUGUGUGAAGUGUAACACUGUCAAGAAAUAAUUUAUGAUUAUGAACUUAUAUCAUCCUAAUAUCUCAGAUGUUUAAUCCCAUGUAGCUGUCAUUAUUUCCUUUCCUCGUGGUAAAUGUACCAAUUAUUUUGUGCAUGAACAAUAUUUUUGUUAUAUUCAUAUGAAUAAAAUAGAGGGCUGGAUAAGACCAGUGAUUGAGUCAAGAUCAGAAACAAGACCAAUUACAGUUUUAGCCUUUAUAUAUCACCUGAAGAUUAGGCCUCCCUGAUAAUUUGGGGGUAAUUGAACUUCAGGCUGGUUAAACUGAAGGACAAAACUUCAGGUGAGCACUUGGGGAGGAGGGAGCUAAUCUUCAUAUGAUCCAUAAAGGCUAAAUUUGCCAAUGAUCUCAUGUCUCAACUUCCCUACAUCACUGGACGACACAUUGAUGUUGUCAUUGACGGAUACCUUGCCAUCGAGUGUUCUUGAUACUUUGAGGAACGGUGAAACUUUUGUUGCAGAGAAAUAUUUUAAUGAAAGAAAGUUAUAAAAUUUGUGGUGUGAGUGUUGAUGUUACUGUUAACUGUAAGAUGUUUUGCUAAAUAUUGUUGUUGAGGGAUUUUAAUAAUACAGAAUGGGAUUAAAAUGGGAUUUUAAUAAUAAGGAUAUUCUAAUCUUUAUUAUUAACCCUAUCAGUCAUUAUUUUCCUGAAGUGGAUUAAUUUGUAACUUAGAUUCUCUUAACAGCUGUGUACUGUCAUCCCAUAUAUGUAUACAGUAAUUGAAAGAGAACUUUGCCAGUAAAGUAAGCCAAACCCCGAACUGUUACUUUCAUUGUUGAUAUUUUUUAUUCUUCAGUAUUGUUAAAUUAAAUCUCUAUCAUAAAUACUGUACAUAGAUAAUAUUGUCACUACUGUGGUGAGUGUUGACAGAUCGUGUUUUGUAUAUUUAAAAUCUGGAAUUAUGACCUAACUAUCCCAAGUUUCACGAAUACUUUGUCUUGUGUGGAAAAAUAAUAUAAAUGUUUUCCAAUAUUA